Molecule: long non-coding RNA, 183 nt
Organism: Cryptomeria japonica (Japanese cedar)
Lineage: Eukaryota; Viridiplantae; Streptophyta; Pinopsida; Cupressales; Cupressaceae
Exons: 3
Source: RefSeq, a predicted model, not a curated record
UCAACAUAGUGGGUUCUGUUGAUAUAAUUUGAAGGGAUGUAUUUUUAUGGUUCAUGCUAGAUCAUUCAUUGUUGACGAGACCCUCUCUUGGUGAUGGACACAUCUGCAGUGGAUCAAAUUGUCAUGACAGAUGAUCUAUUGAAUCAAACAUUUGAUAAUGAUAGUCAGGUAAAUAGGUUAAUG